This 106-nucleotide transfer RNA is filed under the name Laccaria amethystina LaAM-08-1. It matches the Rfam family "tRNA". Rfam says of the family: Transfer RNA (tRNA) molecules are approximately 80 nucleotides in length. Their secondary structure includes four short double-helical elements and three loops (D, anti-codon, and T loops). Further hydrogen bonds mediate the characteristic L-shaped molecular structure. tRNAs have two regions of fundamental functional importance: the anti-codon, which is responsible for specific mRNA codon recognition, and the 3' end, to which the tRNAs corresponding amino acid is attached (by aminoacyl-tRNA synthetases). tRNAs cope with the degeneracy of the genetic code in two manners: having more than one tRNA (with a specific anti-codon) for a particular amino acid; and 'wobble' base-pairing, i.e. permitting non-standard base-pairing at the 3rd anti-codon position. The record is from Rfam by way of RNAcentral. Lineage: Eukaryota; Fungi; Basidiomycota; Agaricomycetes; Agaricales; Hydnangiaceae.
GGGGGCAUAGCUCAAGUUGGGAGAGCAUCAGAUUGAAGUCACGGCACAUUAUCGAAAAUAGCGGAUUCGCAUUCUGAGAAUCCACGUUCGAUUCGUGGUGUCCUCA